GUGGGGAAUAUUGCACAAUGGGGGAAACCCUGAUGCAGCAACGCCGCGUGAGUGAAGAAGUAUUUCGGUAUGUAAAGCUCUAUCAGCAGGGAAGAUAAUGACGGUACCUGACUAAGAAGCUCCGGCUAAAUACGUGCCAGCAGCCGCGGUAAUACGUAUGGAGCAAGCGUUAUCCGGAUUUACUGGGUGUAAAGGGUGCGUAGGUGGCAGUGCAAGUCAGAUGUGAAAGGCCGGGGCUCAACCCCGGAGCUGCAUUUGAAACUGCUCGGCUAGAGUACAGGAGAGGCAGGCGGAAUUCCUAGUGUAGCGGUGAAAUGCGUAGAUAUUAGGAGGAACACCAGUGGCGAAGGCGGCCUGCUGGACUGUUACUGACACUGAGGCACGAAAGCGUGGGGAGCAAACAGGAUUAGAAACCCGAGUAGUCC
This 425-nucleotide ribosomal RNA is filed under the name uncultured bacterium. Its description in RNAcentral is "bacterial SSU rRNA". It matches the Rfam family "Bacterial small subunit ribosomal RNA", at positions 354 to 796 of the family's 1533-position model. The record is from RNAcentral.